UUUUUUUAUUUUUUAUUUUUUUUAUUUUCCCACUGUACAGCAAGGGGAUCAAGUUAUCCUUACUUGUAUACAUUACAAUUACAUUUUUCCCCCACCCUUUGUUCAGUUGCAACAUGAGUAUCUAGACAAAGUUCUCAAUGCUAAUUUAGAAUCAAAACCUAUGGAGCUAGAACAGUCCUAGUAGACAAUCUAGUGUAAGUGGAUGACUUUACGGUAACUAAACUACAAAGCCAUUAAAUACUCAGUCACCUUAGCAAAGGGAAGAAUCAAACUCUGAUGUUAUCUUUCCAUGUUCUCCCCAUCAUAACACUCUUCUUCUGAAACAUUUUAUCAUUUAAUUCCAUGUUAGGAGAUUAAAUAGCUAAAAAGCUAAGGAAAAACGCUAGUCCUUCAUUUUCGUAUUAACUCACAGGAGAAUGCAUGGAAGGAUGGCUUUAUCAGCUAGAUCAUUAAAUGCCCUUUGCUUGCAAAUUUGCAGAACUGAGACACUGAAUCCCAAAAGGGCCCCAUGUGAACUCUGAGACAAAGUGGAACCGUAUCCUGAUACAUUUUUUACUAUGUCACUGAAAUAUUUACAUCAAGUGCUAUAAAUCUGAAUGACACAUUGUGGAAAGCACCUGAAAACCACAGGAAAUAUUUUAUUCUUGUUUAAUAUAUGGAAAUAGUUAAUGGCAGAAAAAGAAUUCAGAGUUCAGAGCAAAUGUGCACUAUCUUUGAACACGAUCUGUAUACUGUCACUUGAGGUUGGAUAUCUACUGCUCAGCAGAUUAUGUUAAUUGGCUACCAUCUAGAACAAGGUAUCAAAGAGACAAGCACAUUUUCCACCUGGCCUGCACAAUGAUAAUCAAACUGCUAGGCAGCAAAUGGUAAUACCGUGAUUAUUCAUGUAAUAUCAAGUCUGACUCCUCAUUAGCCUCCAGUGUGAAUUUAAAUUAAGCCAUGAGGCUGGUAAAUACGUGGCAUACAAACACUUGAGCAUUAUGAAUUUAAAUUCAUUUUAAUGAUUUCCAGAAAGUUUGGCAAAACUCAAAAGGUUUUUACACUAUACAUGCAAAUGAAGGUCAUUCUGGAAUGAUAAUGACUAAACAAAGAAUCACAUUUUUUAAGUUAAAAAUACAACUUUCCUAAUAAGCCAAGCCAGCCUGUGUCAAAUUCUUGAUAUAUGUUUUUUGAUAAUUAACUUCAUAUUUCUCCAACUACCUGGCCGUGGCAGUGCACUUAAGUAGGGACAGAGUUAUGGGGAAAGCAGCAUGAUAUGGAUAAAGCCUGCUUCAUUUUCUAACCAUCUUUGAGACCCACGUUCAGUUUUAGUACUUUAGUCACGAAAUGGCAGAAGGAUAGAAAAAGACUUGGAUUGAUAUCAAAGCACUUAGUUCUACCUGAAACUUGGCUUUCAAAAACCAUGACUGGGAAUGAAACCGCAUUUUUUUUUUUAAUUAAUGUUUUUAACUCUAUGCAGAGUCUCAUCUCACCUGAAUAAUGUCACUUUGAUUUAAGUGAGUCAAUUAGGCUUCAAGAAUAACCAAAACUUUAUAUGAUUAGACAGAUUAUAAAAUUAACUGGAAAAUACAGACUCCUCACGUCAAGGAAAAGAUCCUUACAGUUACAUUGCUUAGAAUCUUAUAGGCACUUUAUAAAUGUUUGUGAAAUUCCAUAAAACAAACGGAUGAAUGAAGGACGAAUAAAUGAGUUUUAGCUGCUGACAGAUUUGAAAUACUGUGUCCUGAUUUUUAAUAUAUCCAUAAAUGUAACUCUUUGUGAUUCCCUUUGAUACUUAAAAUCAUCAAACUUUACUUAAAAGCAGACUGUGCUUACACUUGGUCCCUUUCUUUCUUUCUUUCUUUCUUUCUUUCUUUCUUUCUUUCUUUCUUUCUUUCUUUCUUUCUUUCUUUCUUUCUUUCUUU
Molecule: long non-coding RNA, 1904 nt
Filed under: Sus scrofa (pig)
Lineage: Eukaryota; Metazoa; Chordata; Mammalia; Artiodactyla; Suidae
Description: lncRNA (ENSSSCG00015040481.1)
Source: RNAcentral